UACGGAGGGGGCGAGCGUUAUCCGGAAUCACUGGGUUUAAAGGGUGCGUAGGCGGCUCGGUAAGUCAGUUGUGAAAGCCCCUUGCUUAACGAGGGAGGUGCGAUUGAUACUGUCGAGCUUGAAUCGGGAUGAGGCAGGCGGAAUGUGCCAUGUAGCGGUGAAAUGCAUAGAUAUGCCUUAGAACACCGAUUGCGAAGGCAGCCUGCUGGGCCUGUAUUGACGCUGAGGCACGAAAGCGUGGGGAGCAAACAGG
Molecule: ribosomal RNA, 253 nt
Filed under: uncultured bacterium
Lineage: Bacteria
Description: partial 16S ribosomal RNA
Rfam family: Bacterial small subunit ribosomal RNA
Source: RNAcentral